GCCGGGCGUGGUCGCACGUGCCUGUAGUCCCAGCUACUGGGGAGGCUGAGGUGGAAGGAUCGCUUGAGCCUGGGAGUUCUGGGCUGUAGUGCACUAUGCCGAUCGGGUGUCCGCACUAAGUUCGGCAUCAAUAUGGUGACCUCCCUGGAGCGGGGGACCACCAGGUUGCCUAAGGGGUGGUGAACUGGCUCAGGUCGGAAACGGAGCAGGUCAAAACUCCCGUGCAGAUCAGUAGUGGGAUCUCGCCUGUGAAUAGCCACUGCACUGCAGCCUGGGCAACAAAGCAAGACCCCGUCUCU
RNAcentral lists this signal recognition particle RNA (299 nucleotides) under Cebus imitator (Panamanian white-faced capuchin). RNAcentral describes it as "Metazoan signal recognition particle RNA (ENSCCAG00000005755.1)". It matches the Rfam family "Metazoan signal recognition particle RNA". Rfam says of the family: The signal recognition particle (SRP) is a universally conserved ribonucleoprotein. It is involved in the co-translational targeting of proteins to membranes. Lineage: Eukaryota; Metazoa; Chordata; Mammalia; Primates; Cebidae. The record is from RNAcentral.